Myotis lucifugus (little brown bat) is the source of this 75-nucleotide non-coding RNA. Lineage: Eukaryota; Metazoa; Chordata; Mammalia; Chiroptera; Vespertilionidae. The record is from Rfam.
GGCGAUUCUCGGGUUAUGCACCCUGGAAUAGGGCUCCCUCCUCUCUGGUUCCCAGUGUGUCACCCGAAAGCCACA